GAUGAACGCUGGCGGCGUGCCUAAUACAUGCAAGUAGAACGCUGAAGGAGGAGCUUGCUCUUCUGGAUGAGUUGCGAACGGGUGAGUAACGCGUAGGUAACCUGCCUGGUAGCGGGGGAUAACUAUUGGAAACGAUAGCUAAUACCGCAUGACAACAGUUAUUGCAUGAUAACUGUUUAAAAGGGGCAACUGCUCCACUACCAGAUGCACCUGCGUUGUAUUAGCUAGUUGGUGAGGUAACGGCUCACCAAGGCGACGAUACAUAGCCGACCUGAGAGGGUGAUCGGCCACACUGGGAGUGAGACACGGCACAGACUGCUACGGGAGGCAGCAGGAGGGAAUCGGCGGCAAUGGACGGAAGUCUGACCGAGAAACGCCGCGUGAGUGAAGAAGGUUUUCGGAUCGGAAAGCUCUGUUGUAAGAGAAGAACGAGUGUGAGGGUGGAAAGUUCACACUGUGACGGUAUCUUACCAGAAAGGGACGGCUAACUACGUG
This 495-nucleotide ribosomal RNA is filed under the name uncultured bacterium. RNAcentral describes it as "partial 16S ribosomal RNA". It matches the Rfam family "Bacterial small subunit ribosomal RNA", at positions 28 to 507 of the family's 1533-position model. The record is from RNAcentral.